UUUUUUGAUGGCUCGAAGAUGUUGAAUGGUUCCGGUGCUGGGGUUGUCCUGGUUUCCCCCAGAGGAGAUAAGCUCAGAUAUGUGCUCCAGAUUCACUUUGAUUCCUCCAACAAUGAGGCAGAAUAUGAAGCCCUCUUAUAUGGGUUGCGCAUGGCCAUUUCACUCAGCGUCCGUCGCCUGAUGGUCUAUGGCGACUCGGAUUUAGUGGUCAAUCAGGUGAUGAAAGAGUGGGACGUGAGAAGCCCAGCCAUGACUGGAUACUGCAGUGCAGUGAGGAAGCUGGAAAAGAAGUUCGAGGGGUUGGAGCUCCACCAUAUACCCCGACUGAAAAAUCAAGCAGCUGAUGAUCUAGCAAAGAUAGGUUCCAAGAGAGAAGCCAUCCCGAGUGGUGUGUUCUUGGAGCAUAUACACACUCCGUCAGUCAAAGAAGAUCCUUUCACCGAAGAAACUCCACAACCCAAGAGUGCCACAGAUCCGACUGAGGUUGAAGUCCCAGCGGUGGUCGACUUGAUCAUGAAGGUUUUGGUGGUCAUUCCCGACUGGACGAUUCCGUAUGUCGCAUAUAUCCUGAGGAAAGAGCUCCCGGAGGAUGAGGAAGAGGCUCGACAGAUCGUCCGUCGAUCUAAGGCCUUUACCGUAAUCAAAGGACAAUUA
Molecule: ribosomal RNA, 654 nt
Filed under: Triticum aestivum (bread wheat)
Lineage: Eukaryota; Viridiplantae; Streptophyta; Magnoliopsida; Poales; Poaceae
Description: partial small subunit ribosomal RNA
Source: RNAcentral